Passer montanus (Eurasian tree sparrow) is the source of this 14482-nucleotide long non-coding RNA. RefSeq lists it as uncharacterized. The transcript has 15 exons. The record is from RefSeq and is a predicted model, not a curated record. NCBI's taxonomy places the organism in Eukaryota, Metazoa, Chordata, Aves, Passeriformes, Passeridae.
AAAGGUAAAAAAUAUCAAUGAUCAAUUCCCAGUCCCCGUGCCUAUGACCUCAGAUGGGUUGUCAUGAUGGUGGCUUCUUUUGUUGUUAUGCGAUUUGUUUUUUGGCAAAAAUUCCUUAUCUGCAUCCUCAUUUUCUACUCACCUAAAUAUCUUUGAGUACAAACCAAGAUGAGAACUGUAAAUUGCAUUCUGUCGGUAUCUGUAAAAGAUAGGCUUUUUUGAAGAUAAAACUAUAUGUAGAAAUUCAUUCUUUCAAUGUACCUGAUGCUGAAAAGCAGCAUGUCCCAAGGAGGGAGAUCAGCUACUGGCCACCCCUACACAUUUAGAAAUGUAUCUCCCAGCUGUGUCUGAGAGGCAACAGUGGCAAAUUUGUGGAGACACUUCAAUGUUAUUACAGAUGUUCUUUGAUCCAGAAGGAAUAAAGAUAGUUGGUUCUAAAUCUUUAUUGAACUGCUAACAAAGUAAAAAUAAUUUGUAUUCAAAAUAGUGCAAGAUAUACAAUAAUGUACAAUAAAUUUAAAUGAGAAAGUUUUAUGCUGUAACAACUGAACCUGUAAAAUGGGAUAUCAAGGCUUUGUGCUGGCAGUGUGACCCACUCAAGACACUUAAACUCUCUCCAGACCAUUGGCUUAAUUUUUGGAAAAAGGAUGUGAUUGCAAAGGAAGCUGGGAAGGCAGAAGUAGAUUGUUCUUUCUAGUUGAGAAACAUGGAUAGACUCAUCCUACACACAACUGAUAGAGGAUAGAGGCUGGGGAAACAGCUGAUUGUGAGUUUAUUUGGAAUUAGCAGGAUUGUGUUUAGAGGCAGAGGGCCCAGAACAUGUUUUGGCAAAGCAAAAGGGAGAGAAAAAGACUUAAAUUCUUAGAGUGUGUGGAUACAUUUCAUUAGAAGAUGAACAUGAGAAGUCUGAGAAACAGACAUGGCACUACUUCGUGGAAAAAUAAGAGGCAAAGCUUGAUGCAGGAAGAACUUCGAAAUAUUUGGUAGAGCCACAUGUGACUGAUCAAAAUAUUCACCCUAAGCACACAAAACAAGAGUGUUAAGAUUUGACAGAUAUGGGACUCACCUUCAGCAGAAUGUGGCUUUAACAGAACUUGGGAGACCCUUCCAGAGGAGGGUGAUUUGUUCACAAAGCACGAUCACUUUGGAGACCUUGAUCCGAUUUCUACAAUAAAUGAACACAGCCAAGAUUGUUUUAUAAGCAGUUCCUCAGUGAAAGUGUGCAGCACAACUUCAAGUGGAGUUCAAGUUAACACAUCUGCUUAACUGUUAAGGCUUAACAGGUUUUACUGCAUACUUAAAUUUACAUUGAACUUAUGCUUCAUAUCAAACUCAAUUGAAAGAUCUUGGGGAUGUACUGAAUAUCGUUUGUGUUGCUUCCCCGUGGAUGCUUGCCAUCAGAAGUAUUUCAGUUGGAUUAUCUGUAGUUAAUGCUUGCUGCUACCAUGGGACCCUUCCAGGAGCGGAGUUUGGAGAUGGACAACCUCUGCUGCUUCUCAGCCAGGAGCUGCUCUGGGGCUUUGGUGUAGAGGGCACAUCCUGCCUGUGUACCCCCAGCCCUCACCCUCCUGCUGGUCCCCAGAACCAUCACAUGUCCUGACUCAGCUUACCAGCUCAGCCGUGUCUGUGGGAGCCCAGGCUCUGGCAGCACUGAGGAAGGCCAUGCCUGGGGCUGGGCAGAGGCAGCAGGGAGAGCUGGAGCCCAGGGGCAGCCUGUGCCCUCAGCUGGUGGCUGCAGAGGAGUGGCAGCCUGGCUGAGGAAGUUCCAGCCUGGCUGGCAGCAUUGCCUCUUCCAUCUCCACUUCUGCCCUUAUAAAUACACUUGAGUUUUAGAUGGAACCUUUGGUGGUGAAUCAGACAAAGCAGAAGUGGAUAAUUUCACUCAAGCAUCAUGGAUCUUAAAGGCAAUGCUGAACUCCAAUGAAGGACCACUGGCUUGAGCAAGUGCAUGACAAUUCUUGGGAUGCCUGUGCUGAAAGACUUCUCUUAAUGGACCUUGAUGGGGUUUGAUUUCAUUUGUUCCAGAAUGGGAUUGCCCUUCUUGCUGUUGCUGCAGGCUCAUGAUCUGGACCCAGCCCUAGGACUCAAGCAGGACUGAGGGACACAUGCAAGUGGUAAGAAGCUGGAUCAUCUUUCUUCAUCUGCUCACUGCCUUCACAGAAUUUGCAAGUGUGACAAAGUAUUUCAUCCCUUCACAGGAUUAGGGAUACGGAUUUGCCUCUCCCCGAGGUGCUGCUGGCUGGUUCACUGCCUGCUGGAGGGUGUCUCUCAGAUCUGACUUAACCUGAAGCAUGCACUUCCUCAGGAGGUCUGCAGCAGGGCUGGAGGAGAGCAAACACUGCAUCCCUUCCCUCCUGUCAGCUGCUGCCUCACAACUGCAGUGUCUGUGCUGUGCUCUCAGCUCCCUCACUCUGAAAUGUUCCUCGUGGUGGUUUGUACAGAGCUGCCUUGGAGCAGGCUUUGCUUUUGGUGGCAGUAUCCCUUGUUGCCAUGCCAUUAAUGAAGAUGGUUUUAGCCUUGCCUUUAUUCCACUGGGACCAGCUCCUCUACCCACAGGCACCAAAAGUGGCAAAUCUUCAUAACCUUUUUUAAUUUUCAGUUGAAGCUCUACAUCACAUGAACUUCUUGGGGUUUUUUGAGAGUGUAACUCACUCUGGAAGCUUGAUUUAUUGUUUUGGAUUUGUAGCUGGUGAAAAGGAAGUUAAAAAUAAUUUCCAAAACCUGAUCUCUAGCAGAUGGAGGUCUUGCAGAAAAACAGUCAGUUUGACAGUUGUACAGGCAAGGAAAAAUCCUUUGGGACCAGAAAAGUCUUUGGAGAAUGGAGAAAGCAUGAAUGUGUUCCAAGACAAAUACCCUACUUCAAUUCCAGUGACUUGGACAUGAGUAACCAUUGGGAGUCGUCCUGUUUCCAUUCUGCAAAGCUGCAGUUGCAUGAUGUCAGCUGGAAAGCUGCAGAAGCUCAGAGUGGUGUGUGCAGCUGCUCAGCCCUCUGGGCACAGCCUGCCCCUCUGUCUGCAUGGGGCACACAUAAACUGGGCCUGGUUUUAGGUCCCUGCCUGAGGACUGCUGACCCUGUCCUUACCUGCAAUGUUCCUGGUGUUGGGAAAAUGUCAGUCCCCUUUAACUUUCUCAUCAGCACAUCAGCUCCUGUCUUUGUGGCCAUGGAUCCCAAGUUCCUUGUGAAGGAGAGCACUCAGCCUAUGCAAGGUGGUCCUGCACUUCUGAAUUCAUGGCAUGGUGAAUGAUGUUUUGGAAGGCAGAUCGUCAGAUGCUGUUGGAAAAAUCUACACAUGAGCUGCUUAAUAUAGUUCAUUAUAUUGGAGCGUCUGCAUGAAAGAGGCAGGAGAAAAGGGUUGCCCACAAAUAUUAUCAGUACAAAUCAGCAUGUUAUUAAUGCAGCCAAAGGUAUGGUCUGUUUCUACACCCACCCUUUAAUGCAUGUGAACGUGCUUAAUUCUGUGAGAACUUGCAAAGCCAGAAGCUAUAUGAACUUGGCUGUCACACACUUCUUAAAGCAUUAUUUCUCCUUUUGCCUCUUAGAGACCCCUCUAAUGCCAAAUGGCCCAAGAACUUCAAAGACAUACCACAAUUUAAAUCUGUCCUUCAUGCUUUUGCUUCCUUCAGCAUCUAGCUGUGGCAAGGGCAGCUUCUCACUGGCUCUAGGGGCUCUCUCUUCAGACUUUUAAAUGUAAGUGAAUUAUAACCGUUCACAUUACCUGGUCCAGCUGCACUAGAAAUGGGCAUCUUGACUCGUUAGAAAAACAGGCAUCUCUCUUCCACUGGGUCUAAACUCCUCAUUAGCUUUGAAAUAUUUCACUCUGCUCCCACUCCUCAAGUUACAGCUUCUUUGGCCAAGUUCAUUAGUUCUUAUUUCCAGAAACUGCUGUAUCUCACAGGGCUUCUGAGCUGGUUACAAGGUGAUUAAUACAGGUGAGGUACCUGUUCUAAUUUUAAUGUAACUGGCAUAAAUUACUUUCUGAAGUUGCAUUUUCUUCAAGAGAUGGAAGUGAAGAGCAUUGAUGUGCCAUCUUGGAGCAUUUAUAGGAUGAGGGUCCUGAAUUUUCUCUCUGCAUGCUUAAUUUUGUGUAAGCUUUGCCUCUUUCUUUUGAAGAGUUGCUGUAACUACCAACUUAACUACUGUAGUAACACUGGGAACACAAAAUAAUGAAAAACAGAAAUGUAAUUUAGCUAGAAACCCCUAAAUGCAUUAUUCUCAUGUUUUAACCUAGCUGACUGGGUUAAGAGGGCAAGUGUGGAAGCAACACUUCCCACUCCUGGCUGUCCCAGUGUGCUGUUCCUUCCCUUGCUGGCCAGCAGCAGGCAAUAGUGUCCUGUCAUGUUCAUGUCCAGGUGUUAGUGGGUCUCUAACCUGGACUGCUAAGGGAUGGAAUUAGCUCUGAAUGUGUGAAAUAAACUCAAGCAAUGGAAAGGAAAAAGGAAGGUGUUACUAUAAGACCAUAUAUGUUGCUGAGGUAUGUAUAUAUCUCUUCUUUCAUUGAGCUGUGGUUAAUCAGAAGAUUUAUGUUGGGUUAUUUCUGAAGAAGAGACUCCCCCAUUUAAUGUCCAGCAUAGGUUGUUGUUUCAGCCUGAGCACGUAUGCUUUGCUUCUGGUGUAUUGGAAAAAUGUGAUAAUGUCUAAAACAAGAAUUAUGUGGGAAAGACAUGAAGAUACAUAAAAUGAUGAAAAUCCAUGGGUAGAAGGAUCUCGUUAAGUGGACUCAGGGGGUUCUCAUAAAUAUCAUUUAGUGUGAUGUAGUUCACAUGAUAACAAGAUAUUUUGUUCCACCAGCAAAAUGGAGCAUUAGCUUAGAGGACUGGAUUACUCAUGGCACAAACAUGGCUGUUAUGUGCAAACUUUCGGUGUUCUGCCAAGGUCAGUUUGUGGGGGUUGAGAUGAAACUGUUUCCUAAACUGUGAAAGUGAUCCUGGGUACCCAGGCUGCUGGAAUGCCUGGAGGUUUUAUGGAUUCCUUCCCCUUUAGCCCACUAGCAGGGUAUCUGCUAAUGCAGGCUCCCCUUUCCUGCCUGCAUUGCUCUAGUGAGGCCGGCCUUAGGAGAAGCGUUGUUUUGACUCACUUUUUUUCUGACUUCUUGUUUGCCUGCAGAAGGAGCAUUUACAGCAGCCUAUUCUGUAGAUAACCAAGGCAAAAUGGUUGACCUCAGGCUCUGGAAAAGAUGACUGUAACACUCAUGUCUGAAUAUGACACCAGACCCAGGAUAGGAGUAGGAAGGUGUCAAGUUAUAGUCAGAUCUACUCUCACAGCACCUCAGCUGAAAAUAUUUGUUUGGGAAGGGCUGGUGAAAGGUUUCAUGUCAUGCAGGUGAAGGAAACAAAAGGUAGGAAAACGGAUUUUGGCCUGGGGCUGAGGAUCUACAGUGGGCUUGCUCCUCCUGUCCACUUAGAGGGGAUGUGCACUGGCAGAUGCUGUGACCAGGCAGGUCUUGGCCAUGCCUGGAGCUUGCCAGGAAAGAUCAUUCCUGAGGGUGCCUAGCAGAGCUCCAGCUAUGUUGCCCCUGGCUUUGUGCCCUCCCCUUGCAGCUCACAGGCUGUUGCUGGUCUGGCUUUGCUUGCCCUGCUCCAGAGCCUCAGCCACAGCUUCCCAUUUCUGAUGGCUCAGAGCAGAGCACCUUUGCUGAAGCUUGAUGUUAGAAGCAUGCACUGGAAUGGAGGUGUCAGAGUGGUCUCUAACUGCUUGAAGUGGUGCAGCUGAAAACUGUGUCACUUUAGGAAUAUGCUUUGUUCUGGAAGGGAGUGGAAGACUAAUGGAGUGAAGUUGAUAAGCAGCAAAUGAAGUUGGAAAUACGUGUUCAGGGUGAAGUCAGGGGAUCAAACACAGAUUAUAUUCCUCUGCCUGACUGCCUUCAGAUUUUAUAAUUCAUUGAUUUUUUGCCUGUGCUAUACAGGAUGCUAAUUCAGGAGUUAAAAAUCUAAGGGACAUUUAGGAGGAUUACCAGGCUUCCACAAUGUCAAUGUCAAACUUGGAUUCUGGGAAGCUCUGUUUUAGGGCAGGACUUGAGGAUGAAGGUUCUGUGUGAGUGCAGAAGUAGGAUUAAAUUUCAAUUAAGCCCAGAAAGAAAUACUAGAGGGCUGAAAGAUAUUUUCCCUCUCUUCAUACCUGUAAAGAGGACCUUGUCCAAAUUCCCUUAAUUUGCUGUAAAGUACAUCUGCGACCUCAAGUAGAUCUCAGCUCCAGUGUAUUUACUGUCCCAACAGAAACAGUGCACUACAACCUCACCCUAAUUUUACUGGAAUCAGCUGCCACUGCUCUGGAGAAGAAGCAAGAAAAAACAAAAUUAUUAUCUGGAUAAACAGCCUAUUAAUUUGAUGACAACUGUUGUUCUCCAUUUCAGGGUCCAGAGAGCAGCCUGGGCAGUGAGCUAAUGAGAACACCAGAGCCGUGCAGCCUUGGGGGAGGUGGGGGGUAGAGAAGAAAACAGAACAAACACUCCUUUUGUAGCUUGGAGCUAAGGGGAUUCAGCCAAAGGUUAAUUGCUUUCUACCCUAAAAUGCUGUGAAGUGUUGCUGCGUGGUGUCAUACAGCUGCUUCAUCCCAGCCUAAGGGUGUCUGUUUCACUGGUGGGUGGCAUGAGCCAAGAUCCUUUUUUUAACCGCACGGGGGUGUUGCAAGGUCUCUCGAGUUAAGGCUUCCAAAAAUCUGGUGGAGCUUGGUUGGUAUUGUUUAGGAUUUCACCACAUCAUGGGAGCAGUUAGCAAAAACACCAAAUGAGCACCAAAAGAACAGAUUGCUCUUCACUAGGAAAUUUUUUUAGGGGAUGCAAGCUCAUUGUUUCCUCUGAUUCUUCAUUAGACAAUCAAAUGAAAGAUGCUGCAGGAAUCAAGAGAUAAGGACAGAAAUGAGUGUAAUAGUAAACUUCACCUCACGGUCACCUUUGCCUCUUAGCCAGUGUUUCUUUAAAAUAUUUUCAAAUUAAAGUGUGAACUUUAAUUAUAAUGCUCAAAUCUGUUAUUCCUAAGAAUAAAAAAAAAAUCUGUUAUUUUUUUCCAUUAACAAUUCUGCUCAUGCAACUUCUGCACUCUGUAGAACUUAAAGCAAAAAAAUAACUUUCUAUUAGAAUAGGUCUGUUGUGACAGCUUGGAAGUCUCCUUCUGGUUGGAAGGACAUAAAAAUUUCAAAAAAACAGAAAGUUGUAUGUGGGGAAAAUCAUCCUGUGAUGUUGUGCAGUCUUGUGAUUGCAGGUUGCCCAGGUUCCUUUUUCUGGAGAUCAUCAUAGUGGAAGAGAAUUAGAGUAUUCAAGUUGGAGGGGACCUACAGUGAUCAUCUAGUCCAACUCCAAUUGAUACUUGUGAGAUUAAAUAGAAUUAAAUAGAAAUGCAAUGUCUGAUUUUCCUAUAGGGUAGGUAAAUUUCUGAUUUUAGUGUUUGUAUGUGAACUCUCAAUAUGGCAAAUAAUUCUGUUGAUAUCACUUCUCUGACCUGUUUGUCUCAGUUUCUCCUGUCUGGUCAUUCUGCUCAUUUCCUUGUGAACAUUUUUAUCUUUUACUUUACUUGUGCUUUCAACACUUAUUUUAGUUCAUGGCUCCACAACUGAAGUUUAUUAUAUACAGGGUUUAAAUUAAUGACCAGCAAGCCUGAGCAAGUGUGUGCUUGUUGAAUGUCAGAGCUUGAGUAUUUUCAAUGCCCAGUUCAGGUUAGGAGGAGCUGUUUCCUCUGUGAUUCUUAUGCCAAAUGACAGGAUGGUCUGAGAAAACCCUGAACACUUCAUUAGUGUCUCUUCCUAUCUCAGUCAUGUGUGCAUGGCUCACCCUGCACUUGCCCAAAAGGCAAAGUGUGGGGUCACAGCACUGUCCCAAAUGACCAAGGUUUCCCCAGAGUUAAUUCCCUCAGAAAUGAGACAAUGCAGGCAAUAAGGGCACUAGAGAUGGGAGUGCUUUGGGCUCUUGUUUGCCCUCCAUCUAACUCCCUCCCUGUCCCUUUCUGAUAAUGAAAGAACAGGUCCCAGUUCUUCUGCUUCCAGGGAAUAGUGUUAAGUCUCAUGGUGCUCAGGCAGCUAAUGGUCCAAUUGGGAACACAGACCCUUAGAGCACUUUUACCAUAUGGGAAAUGUUUAAAGCAUUUUUUCAGCAAGGUUUUGGAGAGUUCUGCUUUUGAAGUCCCUUAUUCCAAAUAGGGUGAUGUGUGAACCUCUGCUUUUGUCGGAGCUGAGUAUCACAAACAGGAUGAGGCUCUCUUUCUGCGUGUCAGUACAAUAGAAACACAUGAGUUUUUCUAUGAGAAGCUUGUCUGACUCAGCAGUAUUGCCUAAACUUUCAGAGACAACUGCAACCUACACUACACAUGGUACAGUUGUAUGGUAUCGCUCCUGUUUUCUGUUCCUUACUUGUUUUCUGGCCUAACUGAAGGUGCUGACUUGUUAGUUUGGAACAUGAAUGGUCACUGAGCCCAGUGGGACUGGGGAGAGGGCUUGUAAUACUGAUGGCAUGACUCUAUUAGCAACAAUUUGUGUGAGUAAUGUGGUAGAAUAGUUAUGAGCCAUCUGCCUGCAUCUGCAGUUGCUCAGCAGCCUGGAAGUGCACUUUGAAGUCAGCUUUACUGGAGCUGACCCUGGUAAGUUCUUGCUUUUCAUUCCUAGGACUGCUGCACAAAGUUAACAUCAAGUGCUGCCUUGGAAUCCUGGACCUUUCCUUGUAAUCCUGAAUCUUUCCAGUGAAGCAGAUAGGAAUUCUGAAACGUUCUGCAGUGUCUGAGAGAUCUUCAACAUAGCUUUAAACUUUUGUGACUAUUUAAUGGGAAAUGAAUCUUUCCUUGUUUUCUUUUUUUUCCCCCACUUCAUAAUAGCAUUAAACUAAUUUUCUGCAAACCUGCUUUCAACAGUCUAGCUAAUUUAUACUGGAAGUAAUUGGACACACCUAAUGAAAAGCAGAGUGGAAUUUUGCUGUUGAACUGCAAUGUUCUCUUCAAGUCACUGGUCUCUUCCAUUUGAUAAUUGUCAUAACAGCAGUUAAGUAACCUGACUUCUCCUCUUUCCUGCCAGUGAUGAAAGCUUAAAAUGAGUCUUCAGAACUGUCACUCUUCUCUAAAGUUUCCUUAACGAAAUGGCAUUUACUCCUCUCUUAAUAUUUUGCUAUCUAACAUUAGCCUUCAGAGAGCUCUCACUGCAAUAGUCAACCAGGCAAGGGCUUUAGAUACUCUCAGGGUACUGCUUAUCUUGAGGAGUCCAAGGGGAUCAUGGUGAUGCUGUUUGUGACCUCAAUCUCUUGUUGUGUAGAGACCAUGUUCAUUUACUCUCAAAUCCAUUAUAAAUUCAUGUUACAUGCUUACUCACUCAUUCCAUAGUGGGAUUCUGCUCCAUACCCAGAGCUGUGGUGUUUCUGGGCAAGAGCAGCAUUUGUGCUGCUGUUGUGGUUGCAGUUUUUCCUGAUGUGCCCCUGGCAUGGCAGGUGCUGUAUGGACGGGGGGUUGAGUUGUUCCCUCAGCUCUUUUGUAGGAUUAACCAGGCACUACCUUUCUUGUGCUUUGUGGGGUUCUCAAUCUCAUAGCUUUCUUCAGCCUUCAGAGAGGCUGUGGGGGUAUGUACAGAAGGCACCACAGAGCUGUCAGUGAGCUGUAAAUUGCUGCCAUCUACCAGCUCAUGUAGGGGGCUCCCAUCUGGUCUGGUGUGUGCUGGGAUCUAUGCUCUAGCUCCAAAUCCUGGCUCCUAGGAUUUGUCUUUGACUGGGCCUGUUCUCAAACAUUUGAAGGAGGUGGAUGUCUGGUCUCAUCUCUUCAUAAACAAACCAACCUCAUCUGUAGGUGCAUGCAAAAAACCCUCAAAAGACCCAAACCCAAACAAAAACAACAACCAAAUAACCCAACCCCGAGCCCACAAAAAGCCCCCCAAGCAAUCAAACAAAAACCAAAAAAGCAAUAUGGAUUUAAGGUUUUUUAGCAGUCACUCUCUUGCCUAACUUCUAUGGGACUUCUUUAUGUUACAGAUUCCUGUCCCAGAGGGGUUUUUAGCAGUGAAGAGGGUCGGAAGGUAUUUGAGCUGCUACAGUAUAUCGUGUUCUCAGCAAGAGCUUCUGCUCGCUGUUCAGUCCAGAGAGGGUCUUGUCCAUCUCUGUGAGCAUAACUGUAAUGCUAUGAAUUAUUCCUUGUGGAAACUUUAGCUAUUGUACUUAGUGGGUUUACAGGAGCUUUUUCAGUCUGCUUUUAAUGUAUUUGUGUUGGUGGGGAUUCUGAGUGGAAUUACAUGCCCAGGCUUUCAGAUAACUGCUGUAAAUACACAGAUCCACUCUAGUCCCUUACUUCACUGUAGCAGCUGCUGCGGUGUUGCAGAAACUUCAUAGCUUUGACUGCAUCUUAUUAGUUCAGCACACUAUUAAUAUCCCAGAAGCUUUUUGUAUUAGUUUCCACACUUAAUAUUGGUUCUCUUUCCUUCUUCCCUGCCCCCCUUCACACUCAGUCAUUAAACUAAAUUCAUCUUGGGGCUUUUUCAUUUAAGAUGCCCUUGCUGCCCACACCAAAGAGGGGAACCAGACUGGAAGCAAACCAAUUGUGCUAACAGUCACCUGGUAUAUUUAGUGGCAAUGUCAUCUAACAUGCAUUUAUGCUCAGAAGUAGUGCCUUUCUGCUUCUAUAUGGAGCAUUUGUAGUGUUGGCAAAAUCUUUCCAGAGAAACAGCUGCUGAUUGGCUCUUGUCUAUUUGGGGAAGGAUCUGUCCUUAAAUACUUAGUUAUUCUGCUUUCUAAAAAUGGCAUCGAGCACUUGGCACUAUGAGGAUUGGACUCAAAACUUUUACUGAGAUGAACUGGGUGCAUUGCACCAAGACCUGGUGAAUCCUUGUCUCCCCUAGAGGAAUGACUGCACAAGUACCAGCAAGUGGGUGCAGGCACAUCUAGGGCAAGUCAGUGCCUGGGGCUCUAAAAUGCCAAUUGCAGUGUUCCUCUGGAAGGCUUUAAAACCAAAUGUCACAUUAUUACGGUUUAGUGGCUCUGGUGAAAAGGCUACAGGACUGAGAUGCAUCUCAGCUGAUAUUUCUUCUGAAUGUAAAGAAAUCCUGUCCCAAAUGGCAGCAAUGCCUCUCCUUUGAGGUGUUGUGUCUCAGAAAGGUGGAGAAUACAGGCUGUCCUUUGAAUAGGGACUGGGAGCCAACUUGCCUUUACCAGUCUGUGCUGACCAGAGACAGGGCAAGGAGGAAGGAUCCACCAGCACCUGGCACAACUGCCCCAGCCUCCAAAUGCAUAAACCUGACUGACACCUAACUCUGACUGAGGAGAAGACUCUAGGGUGAGCAGCUCACCAAGAACAGAAGUGUUGCAGCCCUUUGGUUGACUGUAGGUGCUUCCCACUGUUCCUCAGAUCUUACAAGGUCAGGAAAACUUGACAUCCAGAGAGCUGGUAGGGUACCAAGGGAAGGGUUUUACCCCAGAGCUCAGGGGCUUUGCUCACCUCUGAGCUCUCACUGUGACACCUCACCUAAGGGAGAGCAGUGGGUGAAUCAUGUAAUACUCCUUUGGAACAGAGGCUAGCUUAGGACAACUUGAGGGUCUAGGACACUGAAAUAUCUUCCUGUCCAAAAUAGUUUGAAUUAGUUGAUCUGCGUGGCAUGCUGCCAGGCUUCAAGGAGAACUAGGGAGGCCUGGCUACUGGUCAGCAGGCUGGACUGGGAGGUAGGAAGUUAUUAAUAGCUGCUUUUCCAUGGAAAGAAUGAGUUUGGCUGAGAUGUGAUGUAAAGCUGCUAACUGGUACAGCAAGGAAAUGCUGAAAGUCUUUGUCUAUUAUCACUUGAAGGAACUGUUAUGCCUUGUGGAGAGCUUUGAGCCUCAUGGUCUCAGCUCUCCUGGCAUUGGCCUCUGAAUCUUGAGCUCUGUGGUUGGGCAGCACAGGUGCAGGUCUGAAGAAAAGAAGCUGUCAGCUCUUGGUCAGCCUCAGGGAAUGGUUGGUGUGUCUUCUUUUCCUCAGCAAGUUUAUGUUCCCUCAAGGUCCCUUAUGAUGCAGUUCCUGCCUGUAGGAGUCACCUCUUUGUUUCUGAAGCUACUUAAUUUAAGGAGAGAGAAGUAAGAAAGAUCCUUUUCUGCACACUAGAAGUUUUGGAAAGAAAGAUUAUCUCAAAACCUCAGACAAGACCAGUUUGGAAAAAAGGUGGAGGAGACUGGGUGAAAUAAAUGAAUAAAAAUUCUCUUCUUGAGUGGAAUGGCAAUGAGGAAUUUCUUAUGGGGGGUUUAGCUGGAUCAAAGGUUACAAUAAAGCACAAGUAAUAGAUUUGCUUUAAACUAUACCAGCUGGUCCUCUCCUUUUAAAGGCUUGUGGCAGAGUGGCUUUAGUGAUGUUAUUGUGGGCAUCUGUUGGACUUGUUCCUGAGCACUUGAUUAGCAUUUGUCAUUUUUAAGGUGAAGGCUAGGAAAAUGAAGUGGUGUUGCAUUCAGUGUGAAGCUUGUAUUUCCUUUUGUAUUCUUCAGUUCCCUUCAGGAACUUUUCAGUUUCCUUGCAGGAAACUAAUACAAGGCUCUGGAUUAAUACACAGAGGUCUCCAAGCCAAGCCCAGUUUCAUCCCUUGUAACAACUGGUGCUUCUUAAGGGAGAUGCUAGCUCCCAGAAUAGUUACAUGGAUCAAGUUUGUCAUCUCCCUCUUCCUAAAGAUUGUUCUGCUUAGAAAGAGGGAGGAUGAACAAGAGUCAAUGGAAUAUCCAUUUCUCAUUAAAAAUAGUUCUUGUGCUGGCUAUUGUAGGGAAACUUUAUUUCCUUGGUGGCUUGUUGCUGAUCUCUGCUCUUGUCUGUUGGACUUCCACCCUGGAAAACAGGUGUAGAGAUGCUAUAAGUAGCAAGAAGUCUGAUGCAUGCAGUGAGUUCCUUGAAGACUCUAAAUUACAGUUUUCCUUCCUGUGCUACAACCUCAGGUCCCUGACCUGCAACUGCAGCAUAUUUUCUGUGACUAACAGCUGUAAUUCCCUAAUUAUCAUGCUCUGUUCUCCUGCUGUGCUGUAGAUUUUGUUACCAAGGAAGCAAACCAAGUUUCCUCGUUCCUACCCUUGCUCUGUACGCUCCCAACUGUUUUAAAUCCACCAUUUGAUGCAGCCCAUAAAGACAAAUGACUAUCUCUUGCUUCAAAUAGUCAAAGUUUCCAGAACAUAUUACGUAGCUGCAUGCUGGGGACAAAGAAGGAAAUUAAGUCUUUCUGGCCCUUCUUUCAGUGAAGGCAGCUGGUCCAAAGCUAUUGCUAAGUUAGAAAAAGUACCUUUACAGUCUCAAACAGUGGGCCCAAACAAAUAGUACUGUUGCAAUGUGACAGAUAAAACUUCUGCAAACCCCUGGAAAAUGAAGGUUGUGUGUGCCAUAGUAUCCAUACAGGCCUAAUCAUUUGAGGAUGACUAACAAGGGGUCAGUUCCUUUUUGCCUCCACUGCUUUUGAGGUUGGGGAUAAAUGAUUGUGUGCCACAUGGUAAUGAGAAUAAACCUGUGCUAAUCAAGGUGAUUCGAUCAAUACAACCAGCUGUAUUGUGACAGAUAAGCAGCUGUCACAGAAUAUCACAGAAAUGUGUUAAGAAGCAGAAAAACUAAACUAGGUUUCCUAAAACCUAAUGUUUACCCUUCUAAGUAUGCAAAGGUAUAUUUGAGUACUGCAUAUACUGAGGCUUUACUGGAUGAUGCCCAUCAUUCUCCUGCAGGAUGCACAAGGGCAAGUUUAGUUCUUAAAGCUGUUGUCACUUUGGACUCCAUCAGGCUAAUGUGGCUGUGUCCACAACAAGCAUCAAGCCCCCAGUGCCCUGGGUGGCAGUCGGUGACAAACAGGAAUGCUUUCCAUGGGACCAGCCUCCAGUAAUUAAUUCAUGGCUCACUCCAGAAAUAUCAUCCAAGUUGCAACAUGAAUGAUGUCUCCUGGAUCACAGGAUAAGAGUUACUGACUCCAUAUGGGGGAUUUGCUGCUUGACUCCUCUGCCCAUUGUUUGAGACUACCUCUAGUCCAGCCCUCUACAUGGGAUGGUUACAGCAAUAAAGGCACUUUUUCUAACCUAGAAAUAGCUUUGGACCAGCUGCCUUCACUAAAAGAAAGGCCAGAAAGACUUAAUUUUAAUUCUUUGUCCCAAGAGCUAGGAGGAUGCUCCUUCCUCUGGAUCCCUGGGAUUAAAUCCACAACUGGGUCUAGAACAGGUGACACCCAAGUUGGGAGGGCAAUGAAGGAAAUUGUCUGCUUGGCCUCAGUCAAAGGAGAAGGAAAAAUGAAAUACAAAUGCCAAAGAAAAAGAGUAGAUUUAGACAACACAAAAGAUGUCCCUGGCAUUAAGAUUGUCCAGCAUUGCUUCAUUUGCAAACUUGACAAUGGGCUUCAGUAGAGUGCAUUAUGUAGCUGGCAAGCAUGGAUCAGGUAUGGAGGCACAUAAAUCCAUUGUGGAUGUAUUUUUCAUUACAGAAUAAUGGUGAGAUAACCUAGACAACCUAUGAAAAUGCUUUUGUUCAGUUUCUGGAACUCUGCUCUUGUGCCUGUGUUUAAAUAUCAAGUAUUGUACACCUUAGCACAUACGUCAGAAUAUAUUGGUGUAACCGU